GUAAAUAUAGUUUAACAAAAACAUUAGAUUGUGAGUCUAACAAUGGAAGUGCAAACCUUCUUAUUUACC
Molecule: transfer RNA, 69 nt
Filed under: Felis nigripes (black-footed cat)
Lineage: Eukaryota; Metazoa; Chordata; Mammalia; Carnivora; Felidae
Description: tRNA-His
Rfam family: tRNA
About the family: Transfer RNA (tRNA) molecules are approximately 80 nucleotides in length. Their secondary structure includes four short double-helical elements and three loops (D, anti-codon, and T loops).
Source: RNAcentral